RNAcentral lists this long non-coding RNA (303 nucleotides) under Oryza brachyantha (malo sina). RNAcentral's name for it is "long non-coding RNA (OBRA_LNC002978)". Lineage: Eukaryota; Viridiplantae; Streptophyta; Magnoliopsida; Poales; Poaceae. The record is from RNAcentral.
CAUGGCUGCAAUUUAGUUUUGAUUAUAUCAUGCAUCCAGUUGAAAGCACACACGCAUGGUGGCUGUAGACAUGGGAAGUGUCAGGACAAAAUGCUUUGCAGCCUAAGAAGAUGGGGCAAACACUUCGUUUAAGCAAGCAACUAGUCGGCCAUCACGCUUCACAGGAGUCAGGAAUGACAGUCACACCUCACACAGGGCUUGUAGUAGUAUGCUCCCUCUGUUUAUCUUCCGUCUGAAUCCAUAUGGGAAUUAAGCAGGAUGGCAGUAGCUAACGGGCUUAGCAAGAUGUGGAGGCCUAUGAAC